Molecule: transfer RNA, 74 nt
Filed under: Pusillimonas noertemannii
Lineage: Bacteria; Pseudomonadati; Pseudomonadota; Betaproteobacteria; Burkholderiales; Alcaligenaceae
Rfam family: tRNA
About the family: Transfer RNA (tRNA) molecules are approximately 80 nucleotides in length. Their secondary structure includes four short double-helical elements and three loops (D, anti-codon, and T loops).
Source: Rfam by way of RNAcentral
GCGUCAGUAGCUCAGCUGGAUAGAGCACGGGCCUUCUAAGCCUGAGGUCGGGGGUUCGAGACCCUCCUGACGCG